UAAGGAAUAUUGCGCAAUGGGCGAAAGCCUGACGCAGCGACGCCGCGUGGGGGAUGAAGGUCUUCGGAUUGUAAACCCCUUUCGGGAGGGAAGAUGGAAUGGGGUAACCCAUUCGGACGGUACCUCCAGAAGCAGCCACGGCUAACUUCGUGCCAGCAGCCGCGGUAAUACGAAGGUGGCAAGCGUUAUUCGGAUUUACUGGGCGUACAGGGAGCGUAGGCGGUUCGGUAAGCCCUCUGUGAAAUCUUCAGGCUUAACCUGGAAAAGUCGGAGGGGACUGCUGGGCUAGAGGACGGGAGAGGAGCGCGGAAUUCCCGGUGUAGCGGUGAAAUGCGUAGAGAUCGGGAGGAAGGCCGGUGGCGAAGGUGGCGCUCUGGAACGUUUCUGACGCUGAGGCUCGAAAGCGUGGGGAGCAAACAGGAUUAGAUACCCUUGUAGUCCCUGAGCGGGCUGGCAAGGCGCAU
Molecule: ribosomal RNA, 464 nt
Filed under: uncultured bacterium
Lineage: Bacteria
Description: bacterial SSU rRNA
Rfam family: Bacterial small subunit ribosomal RNA
Source: RNAcentral